RNAcentral lists this ribosomal RNA (492 nucleotides) under uncultured bacterium. RNAcentral describes it as "partial 16S ribosomal RNA". It matches the Rfam family "Bacterial small subunit ribosomal RNA", at positions 29 to 507 of the family's 1533-position model. The record is from RNAcentral.
AGUGAACGCUGGCGGUAGGCCUAACACAUGCAAGUCGAACGGCAGCACAGUAAGAGCUUGCUCUUACGGGUGGCGAGUGGCGGACGGGUGAGGAUUACAUCGGAAUCUACUUUUUCGUGGGGGAUAACGAAGGGAAACUUACGCUAAUACCGCAUACGACCUACGGGUGAAAGAAGGGGAACUUCGGACCUUGCGCGAUUGAAUGAGUCGAUGUCGGAUUAGCUAGUUGGCGGGGUAAAGGCCCACCAAGGCGACGAUCCGUAGCUGGUCUGAGAGGAUGAUCAGCCACACUGGAACUGAGACACGGUCCAGACUCCUACGGGAGGCAGCAGUGGGGAAUAUUGGACAAUGGGCGCAAGCCUGAUCCAGCCAUACCGCGUGGGUGAAGAAGGCCUUCGGGUUGUAAAGCCCUUUUGUUGGGAAAGAAAAGCAGCAGGUUAAUACCCCGCUGUUCUGACGGUACCCAAAGAAUAAGCACCGGCUAACUUCGUG